RNAcentral lists this long non-coding RNA (34333 nucleotides) under Capsicum annuum. Its description in RNAcentral is "long non-coding RNA (CANN_LNC012560)". Lineage: Eukaryota; Viridiplantae; Streptophyta; Magnoliopsida; Solanales; Solanaceae. The record is from RNAcentral.
UGCCGUUAGGGUUGGUAUUUAUGUUAUUUAUAGAUAAAAAAUACAAUGACCUGGUUCAUAAUCAAUACCAAAUCCAAAUAAAAAUCUAAGGAAACGACAGGAUUUCCUAAUUUGAGCUCUCUUCCUCUUCUUUUCCAAAUGUCGUUGCUAAGAGCUAUCUUCAAUUUGUGGAUCCGUCCGCCUGUUCUCUGGGUCAUUAAUUUUUUCUGAGGUGAAACUGAUAUUUUUAGUUCGCAAAGGUUUGUGUUCAUUUUCUCUUUGAUUUCUCCAUUUGAGAAUUGUGCUCCUUACCUUCCUCAAAUGAUUAUAUAUAUAUAUGUUUUCCGGUGGAGAAAGUAGAACCCAUGGUGGAUUAGAUAGAGGUUCUUAGUGUCGUUAUUUGAGGAUGGAAUUUCUUAUAAGUGACUGGGCUUAUUUUUCUCCUCUUUCUGCUUCCUAAUCUUACUCCACGAUCUUAUUUGCAGCUAAAGUAGUAGAUGGGAUAAUUGCGAUGCCCCAGAUUUUCUUCUUUUGGUGCUCCUUUUCAGUGAUAGUGUAGAUCCUUCCCAUUUGACUCUGAAAGCCUCAAUUUUUGUUUCGACUCUUUUCAUAAGAUGACAUAAGCUUAAUCUAGGUAGCUUAGUAUUACUCACAGUUGUGAAGCCUUUGUGAUGGAAAAAACUUAUUCUAUACAUAUCAUGAUUGUGAGACCUUGAUGUGUGGUCCUUAGUUCUGUGCAUUCUGGAUUAUUUUAUUUUUCUGGAUCUGAUCCUCAAUGUUGACAUUUGUGCUUUAUCUAUGUUUAAGAUUUUGUUGCCUUCAACUGGUAGUUGCUGGAAAGUAUAUCCUUGUAAGAAAUUUCCAUACUCUAAUGUUGUGUUUGCCAAACUGCCAGGUAACCGAUUUGCUUCUAUAAAGAUAUGAUUGAUGAUUACUUGCAUAUCCAUUCUUAAUUAUUGCACUUCCUCAAACAUAUCUGUAAUUUGCCAGGGUAUCUUUCAUUCCCUCAUUAUCGUAUUUCUUAGACUAGUGAAUCAGUUUUCAAAAUAAUAUGAUGAAGGUUAAGAAGUUUGAACUGUCUUAAUGCCCAUGACAGUGGUCUCUACUUCCAUUUUAGUGAUGAUUCCUAGGGUGUUUGUCUUUACAUAGGUCAAAUUUUCAUGGUUGUCUCUAAUGCAAAAACGAUAGGAUCCAUUUCCAAGAUUUCCUCUACUAGCACCAUCAGUAUUGCACUUAACCUAUCCAGUGUUGAAGAAUGUCUUUUUUAAAGAAUUUUAGGCUUAUAGCUUUGAAAAACUCUCACCUUCUUACCAAAGCUUUGGCACUUCUAUCCAUGGAAAUUUGAUCUUGACAAGUUGGUAUAUAGUUAUCUGACUAUGAUGGAGAAGCUUAUGAUAACUAUACUCUUUAUUAUGCCUUCUUGAGUUUCUUUUUUUCCACAACUCCACACCAAGAUUGGUGGAACAGGCUUGAAUAUAAAUUUCAGCUUUGAUAGAGCUGAGGCGUUCCAUCACCUUGUAAUCAACUGUUGUAAAGAAGCAUCAACAAAUCCAAUUCCUGCACAUGAAGCAAAAUAUUUUUAUAGCUUUUGGGCUACGGGAGCUGUUAGAAAAAGGCGAGGCAUUGUUUUCUGCUCUUAGUUUUCACACUAAUAACAUAUGGAUGCUAAAUUGAUCCUCAUCCUUCUAAUAUUGACUUCAGUAUCAAUUCUUCUUUUCCCUAUCCGUUAAUGAAAGAAGUUAAUCUUAAGAGGCAAUUCUUAGAUCUAGAUAUUUAUUAACGGGUCCUGCUCGUCCCUCUUACUUCUCAUGAUUCUAUAUGCCGAUUUGAUUGAGAAAAGUCCACUAGUAUCAACCAUCCACCGAGGAUUAUCAUUGACAUCCCCACCAAAUUAAGACUUAUAUUCUUAAUGAUAUGCUUUUUCAUCUCCUUAAAAAUACUUUCUAGUAAUAUCUGUUUAUCCCACUCUCUAUUUUUUAUGAACCAAGUCAUCUCUAUCUCCCCUUCUUCUAUAAUAUUCUCCUCAAGAAAAUACAAAGCACCUUGUUUGGUCCAAUUGUCAAAAAAGAAAAUAGAAUUUCCAAACUUUAGUUGCCACCAAAUAUCAUGCUCAACCUCUUCUUUUACACUCAUCAUUUCCUCCAUACAUGAGAUGCACCAUCUCCUUAGUUAUCAUAGGGUGCGAUUUCUUGCAAUACUUGUGCAGUCCCUUCUAGUUAUUUUUUAUAUUUUCACUUAUCUUCACUGUUAGGGCUUCUCCAUAGCUGCUUCAAGUCAUUUAUGACUUAUUGGGAUUGGCCGUUCGAUUCUCGGACAGUUUAUUUAAUUUUUUGAAUCAAUUUCCUAUUUAGAAGUCUUUAUUGGUUUUAAACGGCUACCAGGCAAAAACUUUAGUAAGAAAAUCUUGGAUGCCAAUUUUGACUGCGACAACGGAUCUUGAAUAUCGAUUUUAGGCUAGGUAAAUCCUUGUUUUGGGUCCCAAUGCACCCGAGCUCAUUUCGACCAAUUGGUCAAAAAGUUGAAAAAUCAUAAAGUAUGGGUAUGGGUUCCACAAUUGUUCUACACGACCUUGGGUGGAAAAUUCAACUUCACCAAUGUGUCUGAAAUGUUGAAUUUAGUAGUGUUACAUAGUUUGUUUGAGAAAAUCGGAGUUCGAAUGAGUUCGAGGUGUUGGUGCUAGUGUAUGGCGAUCGCGAUGAGGCCUAUUGUGAUUGCAAAAUCGCGAAAGUGACCCCUAGAUGGAGAUUGCGACUUCUCUGUACUGGUAUGGGUAUAAAAGGGCACCUUAGUCUGUGUUUUGGUCAUUUUGACUCAUUUUUGGGACCUAGAAACCCUAAGAGGGUGUGAUAACUCAAAAUUGAGUCUUGUGGGUGCCUUGGGAGCUGGAUUAACAUAUAUUAUCGUGAUUAUCAUCCAAAUUAAGGUUAUUUCAUCACUUUAUUGAUGAAUUUCUUAGUUUUGACCCCAAACCCCAAAUUUUUUAGGGCUUGAUUUUAGCCCCAAAUUAGCUUUGUUUUCACCCAUUUCGUGUGGGUUAUGAUUCUUUGAUUAUAUAUGAGCAUUAGGUAGACCUUGAAAAUGCAUUUUUCAUAAGUGGGAUCCACUUAGAGGUUUUUGGUGUUGUUUUUGGACCUGAAGCACAAUAGUGCAAUAUGGACAUUAUUAUUCUUGUAUUGAUGAGUAGAUUAUGAUUUUGAUAGUGUGAUGGCAUGUUGGCAUUGUGAAGUGGAGAUGAACGUUGGUGUAUGAUGUAUGAUUUUGCAGUUUGGCUUUGAGGUAGGCUUCUACCUACUCUACUUUGAAGAGGAUGUGUGUUAUAUAUUCCAUAUGCAUGUGAAUGUUAGGAUUGAUUAUAAAUAGAAUGGCUUAGUUUUGGUUAUUGAGGUUUGGGGAUUAGAUGAGGGUUUUGGACCAGUAAGGUGAAAUGCUUAUUACCUUUUUGAAUCCUAUUGCCUUCUCCCUAGAUUGAACUAGUUUGUUGUAUGGAAAUGUUAUGAUGCUAGGUUUGGGAUGUGGUUCAAGUGUUGGAAUCAUGGUUAGUGUGAUUAACCUUAGUCUGACUUGUGUAGUGAUCUUGAAAUCGUAAUUUGGCUAAAGUUGGCUUAAAUGACUAUUUUUCUCGAUGAAGUUCUUAUCGUAGGAUUGGUUAUGACUUGCUUGACAUCUAGAAGUAUAAAUAGAUACCUUAGCCUAAUUUGGGGUAUAAGUUGCCUAAUUAUAGAAAUUGAAGAGUAAAAGUGGUAUCAUCCGACCCACUUUGACCAAGAUUUGUGUUAGCCCUUGUGGACUUAGUUGCUGAUGAUAGACAUAGUUGAGACUAUUAAGCCCUUAGAAUAAGCUUACUUCGUGGCUUUGAAAAUUUGUGAUUUAUUUUCUCCCGGAUGAUGAUUAAUGGCUUAUGGCUGUGGUAUUCCUUCCUCUUAGAUAUGAUAAUUGGCCUAUAAAGAUGAUAUUUCCUCUAAGACAUGAUAUUGGACCUCUAGAGACGUUAUUUCUUCUUAAAUGCGGUAUUAGGCCUUUAGAGAUGUAUUUCCUCAUAGAUAUGAUAAAUGACCUUUAGAGAUGUGAUUUCCUCUUAGAUAUGACAAUUGUCGUAUUAAGAUGAUAUUCCUCAUAGUCAUGAUAUGUGAUCCAUAUAUGUGAGAUGCCUUAUAGAUGCAAUGUGCCUUAUCGUUAUGAUUUAUGGCCUAGUGAUAUGUUAUAUCACCUAGAUGUGAGAUGCCUUAUAAUAUUCCUCCCAGAUGCGAGAAGUUUACAAAUAUGCUUUGUGGCCCAUAGAUAGUUUAUGCCUCGUAUUUAGGCUAUGACUUAUGAAUAUGAGAUGGCUUAUGAAUAUGAUUACUGCUAUGAGUUUCAGAUAUGUAUGUGGGCCUAAGGCCGUGAUAUUAAUGUUUUGAUUAUCCGAAUACAUUAUUGGGAAAAAGACAGUGUUAAGAUAUGAGUUGGAUAUCCGGGAAGUAUUUAUCCUGGUAAAGGAUACAAUUGUAGUUCAUGAAUAUAUAUAUGUGUGUGUGUGAGAGAGAGGGGGGGUAUGGAUGGAGGAAGAUGCGGUAUGUCAUUUACGACUUCAUUGAUAUGGAUACUGGUGAUGGCAUGUAUAGAUCCGGUACAUUCAUGGUCAUUAUAUCUGUAAAUGAUGUAAUUCUAGUUAAAAUACGAUCCUAUGACUUUUUUUCCUAAAUAAGAGUUAAAGACCCAUUAUUCAUCUUAAAAACAGAUCUCUUUCCAAUAAUAACUGUCUGAAUAAAUGGAUAAUUUAUAUAUAUAUAAGAGGUUAAUAAUGAUGUUCUUAAAAAUUGACCGAUACAAAUUUCGAUCCAUGAUUUGACACUAUUAAUUACUCCGAUCAUGAGAAAUUCUGAUCCCUUUCUACACUUUUAUAAUGAUUUAGUCCCGAAGUUCACUUCGGGCAAUUAACUUAUAAAUUUACACCCUUUUCACCCCAACUUAAGCCCGUGCACCUAUUAUAUAUAUAUAUAUAUAUAUAUACAUUGAUGAUUCUGAUGAUGUGCUUAUUGAUACCCGACAAGGCCGUAGGAUAUUGUGAUGAUGAGAUGGAUACCCGACAAGGUUGGGGGAUACUGUGAUGAUGUAUUGAUACUCGACAAGGCUGGAGGACAUUGUGAUGAUAUAUUGAUACCCAAUAAGGUCGGAGGAUAUUGUGAUGAUGUAUUGAUAUCCGACACGACUGGAGGAUGAUUAUGAUGAUGAUAUUAUGAUAUUGUGGAUUCUAUUGCAUUCAUACUUGCAUGCGCAUCAUCUAUCACCAAUAUGCUCCUAUGUUUAUCAGCCGGUACGGGACUGUUGCAUAAAUAUGGGUGAUGACUAUGACUUGUGUUGUUGUAUGCUGAUUGAGCCUUUCGAGCCUGGGGCGGUGGCAGUAUGCAUAGGCUCGGUUAGAUAUUUGGUUGUCCGAAAUAGUCGGUUACUCACGCUGUUAUUGGUGUUGUUAUUAUCAUUGUUAUGAUCGCUAUUAUGGCUAGUUUAUGACAGAUUGGUCAUUGAUUCAGUAUCGAGACUUGAGGUAUGUUUUUGGCCUCUUCUACCUUACGAUUGUAUUAUUAUGCAUGAUUAUUUCAUGUCUAGCCAUGUGGAUUAGAAACCCGGCGUAUGAUAACAUUAAAUACUGAUAGGAUUAUAAUGAGGUCUUAACAUGAAGACAUGAUGAUUUAGGUUAUGACUUGAGUUGACACUAUAUGUAUAUAUAUGUGUAGCUAUAUGUAGCUAUGGUGCUACCGUAUGUCCCCUCCUUCAUUCGCUCAUAUUGCUCAUAUUGUAUAUUCAUUCCUUGGCCUUGUAUAUUAUUAUAUCCUUCUUUUGCCCUUUAUUCAUAUAUUGACCUGGGAUAUACGGUAUAGUAUUGAGAUUCACGAGUAUAGAUGGAAUAGGACAAUUCAUCCUUGAUACUUUCUUAGCCUCAUUAUGUUAGACUCUUGGACAUGAAUAGGAUAGUAGUUCCUUAGUAUCUCAUUGGCUUGCUGAAUAAUUUCUGGACUCUUGAGUAUAGUUUCCAUUCUGUGUAUAUAUUGUAUAUAUCUGCUUUAUCUUUGGUGCUUAGUUGACAGUUGCCUACUGAGUACCAUUCAUUUGGUACUCAUACUAUACUUCUGCAGCCUGAUCAUAAUACAGGUUAUUGCCGUUGAUGUGUGCGUUGUGCGGAGCAGACCUAGAGUGAGCUCCUGACAUUUAGAGUAUUACUUAUAUCUCUCUUAUGCAUUAAACUAGUCUCUAUAUUGUAUUCAGAGAUAAGUUGUAUCAGUGUAAUUCUUUGAUAUUUCAUUUUUAUACUCUUAUUAUAUUAGAAUCUUUUGUACUGAUACCAUUAGGUUUUGGGAUUUAUUCAUUUAUUUUAACUUUUGUUAUAUUUAUUUUGCAUUCCUUGCUUAAUCUAUUUGGCAGUCCGUUACUAGUCGUUCUGAACUAUGGUUUGGCUUGCCUACAGGUGGGUUAUAGUAGGCGCCAUCAUGACCUAAGAAAUUGGGUUGUGAAAACUUGUUCCCCAUGAAGGAACUUUAUAGAUAUAAAGUUGAAAUCCUAAAAUUUCACCAUAGUUUGGAAAAUAGAGCCUUAGAUACAUCAUGUAGGGAUCUAAAUUUAGAGCCACCUUUAUCCUGUAGAAAACAUAAAUCUUCUCAGGCCACCCAAUGAUUUCCUUUUUUUCCACCUGUCAUGCUCCAGAAGAAUUUGGCAAAGGUAUAGUGAAGAAUUUGGCAAAGAAGAAUAUAUAUACAAACACAUAUAUACGUAUAUAUACAUAUAUACAUAUAUAUACAUAUAUAUAUAUAUAUAUCAAUUUCUUCCUUCCUACUACUAUUGUAUUUGUAUAUCUCUUUCUUCACUAUACCAUCAUUUAUAGACUAGCUACUUAUGGAAACGCAUUUCGUCCCUAAUUACUGGUAGUAUUUGAUAGUUUACCCUUUUUCAUUAGCAUUAUUAGAUUUCGUUGCCUAAAUAGUUUUUUGUUCUUUAGAUCUCAAUUAGUUGAUGCCUACUGAGUACCUCAUGUUUAGUACUUAUACUAGACUUUUGCAGCCUAAUCAAGGUAAAAAUUCUUACCAUUAAUGUGCGUGUCAUGCAGAAUAACCAUGGAUUGGAGAUUUGGAGUGAGAUCCUAACGUUUGGAGUUGUUCCUAAUCUCCCCCUUAUUGUUAGACAGAUCUCUAUUUUUAUAUUUUAGAGACAACUUUGAAUCUAUUUACUCUUUAUUCCACUUUGUACUCCUGUUGUAUUAGAAGUUUUAUACUAAUUUCAUCAGAUUUUUGGGGAUGUAUAUAUGCGCUAUACUGAUAACCAUAUAUGAAGGUACUACUCUGAGGGAGCUACCUAACUUCACCGGGGUCAUACAUAGUAAGGGAUCUAACAAUAGAAUAAUGAGGGUCUCUAGCCGAAAUGGGAAUAAUCAGAAUAUACUCUAACAAUAAUAAACUUAACAUAACAAGGUGACAAGGGAUCACAAAUGCACCGAUAACCUCGGGCACCAAUCCAUAACCAAUCUACCGUAAACCAUUCAAUAACAACCAACAAUAACGUAACCAGAUAGCUCAGACAAUCAAUAGCCCAACCAGGACCUCAUAAGCCCAGAGGCACAAACAAGCAAUCAACAGACAAUAAUCAUAACUUGUAUCUAUACAGCUCCCCAUAAGACUAAUAAAUACAAGUGCCAAACAAUAAUAUUUGUGACAGGCAAUGCAUAUUAAUGAAUGCAAGGAUAAAGCAGUACCAUCAACAAAUCAAGUGCCAUAAUGUACCAAGUGCAUACACCUUUCUAACUUAGUAGCUCACAAAGGCAGAAUCUAUGGCGACUAUCUUUCUCCAAUACUAUGGCUCAUUGAAUGAAAGGGGCCCAUAAGAGACUCAGAAUGUCUCUAUACACAGCAUGCUCCUAAACCAAGACUUCCAAAAUAACCAUCAUAACAAAUCUACUCCAUUUAGUAUUAGAGAAAAAUAAGAAUAUAAAGAAAUGUUCAAAAUUGAACUGAGACUAAAUCUGUAUAAAUCUAUAAGUCUGUUGUCCGAGAUCAAAUCUGGGAUUAAAAUGGUAUAAUAAUAUAGAAAGGGUAUGAAUCUCUCGCACCAAAGUGCAUAAGUAGUGGUAAAAAGGAGUGGAUCAAUAACGGACUUGAAUCAACUUCAGUCUAUGUUUUCAGGGUAUUUUGCUUAGUUUAAAUAUCAUAAUCCAAUAAUAAGGAUAGUAUAAUUUUCAAUUUAAAAGAAUUAAUUUUAGAAGUAAAAAAGUGAGAAUAAUUUUUUUUUUAGAAAACAAUAGUAAAACCAAGGUUCCAACUGAAUCGCACAACUAAAUAAGCAUAAAUGCGUCUAAAUGUAUGAACGUCAUCGCGAGUAUCCAAACAACAUAAUCGUAACCAUGGACUAGCGCGGUUUCUAAUGUUAGUCCUUUGGACUACACUUUCAUGGCUCAGCUACACAUCCCGCUUUAAAGCCCAAUUUAAAACCAUCAUUUCACAACACAACCAUUAAGCCAAUUACUUAACAAAGUCACUUCGUUGGUAUUGUCUUACCUUCACCACUUGUAAGCGUACAACAUGCCAUAACCUUUAUUAUUCAACUUUAGGACUCGAACACAUUGUCUAUACAAAUCCAUCAAUUCAAUUCAACAUUUAAGGACUCAAACUUAUUAUCUAGUAGGGACAUAAAUCAAUUUAAUGUUUAGGGACUCAAACCCUUUUUAGCCAAUUGAACCACCAAGGUUACCAUGACCAAAAAGCCUUUCACAAAUCCAUUUACCAACAAUUCAUAUUCAUUAGGCCAAUGCCUUAGUUAAAAAACACCAUUAAACAUGUGACUAGUUUGUUCUCUUAGACAUUUUUACAAACACUUUGAGGGCAUACCAUUAACAAGACCAAGACCAAAGUAAAAACCAUUUAGUUUAGGAUGAACCAUUACCCAAUUGUUAAACCACAAUUACCAAGCACCCACAUGUGCAAACCAAUAUCAAAAACAUGUAUAAACACAAUUCAAACCAGGAGUAAAUAAUACUCAACAAUAUGCAACAUGUCCCUCAACAUAGGUUUUCAAAACUACCAUUAAUAAACCAUAAUCAAUGUAAACACAUGAUAUUUGAGAACUAACAAUAAAGAAAGAGUCACAUGACUUAUUCAUGAAGAUUGAUGGAAAGAACUUGACUCUUGAUCCUCUAGAUAACACCUUAUAGAAACCCUAGCCUAAUCUUUAAGAGAGUGUUUAGAGAGAGUUUUUUGGGGGGGGGGGGGGGGGUUUAGAAUAAAACAAUAAUUUACAUCACUUUAGCAACCUUUGACCGCCGGGACUUAAGGGUUUUAGGGUAAAAAAUAUUUGUAAUACCCUCAGCUUAAAAGAGAAAAAAUGGUGCAUAGGAGGGUAUGACCAUACACCCAAACCGUACCCACAACAUACGAGUAGUACACACUACUCAUAUCCUUGGCAAUAUCUUGGACCCUAAAACUUUCAAAUAUACGAUCACAAGGACCAACUCUUAUCCAAUCAUACGAGUGGUACCCAGAACCGUACCCUAGGAAGAAUAAAAUCAUCUAGGCUAGACAUAGGACAUCAUAAGGUUUAGCAUCAUACUUCUCAUACCCUAACAUACGACUAGUAUGAUCUCCAUUCAUAUCUUGGACAAAAGCUAACCAAACCACACUGAUUAUCAUAUGAGUGAGGACCUUAAGUUGUACCUACAUCAUACGAUAAGACCCUCAAGUCAUAUGAUUCCAGAAGCUCAAACUUAAUAAAUUUUCUAAGGGAUCAAAACUAGGGUGUUUCACAUAUGCAUCAUUUCACUUGUUUAUUUUAUUUCUUUAUAUUUACUGGUUGUUAUAUAUCUGUAGUUGAAUUAUGUUUUAUGUUAUGUAUGUGCAUUGGAAAUACUAGAAAUAUUGGAAAUAUAGAAAACCUGGAAAAUGCUAAAUAUUGGUAUGAGAUAUUGGAUAUUAUGGACCUUCAACAAAGGACUAUGCCGAGAAGACUCGAUGACUGUGUGUCAACCUUAAAGUUGUGUGCCAACCUCAAGGUUGUGUGCCAACCUCAUGCAUCACCAUUAUCAUCAUCAUCAUCAUAUUCAUUGCACUUGUUUUAUUGUGUUUAUGUUGUGUUUGUAUUGCUAUAUUGACUUGUCAUCUAUCUAUUUAUUCUAUGUCUUGACUUGCUAUUAUCUCAUUAUUCUAUCUUCCUCUAUUUGUACUUGAUGAUCUUGAAUAUACAUGUCCCUCUUUUGUUCUACUUGUAUGUGAUGUUGUGCAUAUUUUUAUCCCUAUCUGGUGUGUUGUUGUAUAAUUUGUGGAUAUUUUAGAACUAUUAGUGCAAGUGGUAUGGGCAACAGUUGUGGGACAUUUUCUAAUUGAGGUGGCAUGCCCUUAGUAUGUAUUUUGUAUUAUUUAUUUUCUACUUUACUCGGCCGACCUAUGAUACCUACUGAGUAUAAGUGGACUAUACUCAUGCAUAUUGCGCCCUUUCGGUGAAUGUCCUAGUUUGAGUGCACUCCAGCUUGGUUGAUUCGGGCGAGAUUUAGUGCUUUCAAGGUAGUGGAUGACCUUCAGGAGUCUUGAUGUAUUCUACUACCUUUCUUAUAGACUACGUAUUUACUUUCAUUUCAAAAUAGAGUUUUCAUUUGUAAUUGAACAUCUUACGUAUUUUAUUUGGAUUCGAGUUGUACUAGAUGUGUUCUUAUACUAUUAACACCAGGUUUUGGGAGUUAUGGCAGCAUAUGUUGAUUUUAUUCUUUCUGCUUUUAUCAUAUCUAUGUGGUUAGGCUUUGUUUUAGAAGCCUUACAUUGGAGGUAUUUUUGUCUUUUCCCCUUUGUGUAUCAGUUUGGGUGAUAGGCUUAGUUGUCAAGGUUCGCCAAGACAAGUGCCAUCAUGAACCUUGUAUUUUUGAGUCGUGACAAAGGGAAAACCUAAAAAUAAGAUCCAACACUAUUUUACAUGAAUAUAUAAAUAAAUACAAAGGAAAUAGUAACACAGGGAUCAUAUGACUAUAACUACAAGAAUGGCCCCCAUAAGCAAAUAAGUGUGGAAAAAUAAAUAACCCAAUACAGACCCCUAUGAGCCUGGAGGGUACAAUCAAAAAGGUAAAUGACCCUAAUAACAAUAAUUUACCAAUUACAUACCAUAACCAAGAAUCCGUCCAAACCAAAUCAUUUCAUAAAUAAGACCCAAAAUGUCGGACUUAUAUCGAAAAUCAAUAGUAUCAUCACUAUUACCAUCAUUCCUCGAACUCGAACAGAACUUAUACAUAUCAUCAACAUCAUCAAUUGUCAAACUCAAACCAAAACUCAUAUAUCAUUAGACCAUGUAAAUAAAUUGUAAUCAUAAGACAUAUCGUGAAUGUGAUGACAUUGUCAUCGCUUUUCCUUAAAAUGUUUUGUCUAAAUCGAAACAAUUAUCUACCGAAACAUACACAAAAUUAAUACUAACUCCCAGCUACCGAACUAGCAUAAUCAAUAAGCAUCUAGUCUCUUCAAAGUCCCAAAAUAGAGAAAAUGAGCAGAAAUACAGAAAAUGAUUAGCAGGGAAAUUACGUAAUACUUAAUCCUACCAGGGUAACUUAAAACAAUAGUCAACACUAGCCACUUCAUGAUCUAUAAUUAGACAGAAACACUUAUAUAAAAAAUGCACUACUCAGCAUAGACACUUCAAGCAUAAUCACACUUAAUCAACCAACAGUUAUGGGAUCAAAUAAGGAUAGAGUAUAUACAGAUUAAAUAACAUACUACCAAAGGUGUAACCCAAUGAUCUAGACAACCAUAAUAAUUUUAUACACUCACACCUAUAUAAUUCACUAUCCAAAAAAAUUCGCACUUUAACACUCAUAUCCUUGCAGAAUUUUGUUUCCUUUUCUUCUAAAUAACCAUUAAUCAUAUAGCCUUACCCCAAGUCUCAUAAUAUCUCAAUCCCCAAAUACAUAUCAGAUGAUGUAAAGUAAGGCAGUAAAAUGAAAUGGAUGCUCAAAAUACAUUAUCACAAAUAAGCUUCUAACAUGAUAAUAGAGUACAAGAAUAAACACCAACACAGUAUCAACCAUACCAAGAAGGAAAAUACAAUGCAAGUGAUGCAAUUUAAUGUAGAGAUAAUAAUGAUGAUGAUGAUGGUGUGAUAUGCUCGAGGCAAUUACAUCACCUCCAUAUAUACCUAUCGAUUACUACUCCCGAGAUAGGACCCAUAGAGGGUUCACAACCCAUAUACAAUCUCAAUAACCAAUCCAGUCCUGAUAUUCAUAUCUCCUUUUCGGCUCGUGAACUUCGACAUAGGAUUUUUGAAGGGGUCAUAUUUCUGUCAAAAAUUAGUAUUUUCACAGUAGUACCAAUGUCUCAUGAAUGUAAGUAUGAUAUAAGGAUGUAAUGCUCACAACCAAACCAAAAUGAAAAUCUCAAUCCAACCAAUAUACACGCACGUGAGCCAAAAAUCCACUCAAUUGGUCAACCAUAUAUGAUUUCAUAUAAGCAAUGUACCAUUGGAACAAUCAUGCAUAUACGAUAUCAUUAAUGUCAUUUUAAGUCCCCACUUGAGCAUUAUGUCAACUACUAAAGCACCAAAUGCACUUAUAAAACAUAUAAUAUCAGAUAAGCCCCCAUAUGAGCAACUACAACAUAUCAUCUGAUGUCACCAAGCACAAUAAUAUAAGCCCCCGCGUGGUGUCACAACAGUAAUAUUAGAUUAAUAAGCCCCCACACAGGUAUACAAAUCUAUUUAGUUACUCAAGUUCAUUUAUAUUUCACAUAAGUUCUAUAUGAAAGCACAGAAUAAAUACAUAUCCCAAUAACAAAAUAUUGCAGAACUACCCAAACUUAGCUUGUUCAUACAUUAAGACUCAACAACCCCAACGAGUUCAUUUAUACAUUAGAUAUUAUUUAAGACUCGAUUAUUCUAUUAUUUUAAUAAUAGAAUAAUUAUUUCCUAUAGUUUCUUAAACUUCAAUCAUCAUAGUAAAGGCAGUUAUACAAGUUCUAAAGCCCUAAAGUAAGCAUCCAAUAAUAAUAAUCCAAACGUAAGUUACUAGCUACAAUCUAUUCUAAGAAUGUCUACAAGUAAUAAUACUAACUAACUAAGGCAAUAAACUAACUAUAAUUCAUUAUUAAGACUCCGGUACAUGCGAAGAUGCUCUCCAUGUCAUCUAAGAGGGACCCCCAACCUAAACGAAUCACAACAUACCAAUAAUCAAGCAAAUAACACAAAACUUUGGAAAAGGAUCAAAAUACAUCUCAACUUGCCUUAACUGAAAAUCUGCAAAUCCAAAGCAUAAAUCCCCUACUAAAAGCUUAAAUCCUUCAAAACAUCUCUAACCAUGGACAAACUAUCAAAUAUAAUAUCUACACAUCAAAACAAAGUCAACGAUGCCCAUAUUGACUAUAUUAAAGGUGGAUCUAAAAAUGGACCCUAAAAAUGGGUUAAAAAAAGAGGUAAGACUAUAAAUUUAUUUUAGAAAUAUAUUUCCCAUACUCAUAGGAGUAUAUAGCUGAAACCUAUGCCAAAAUGAGUUAACACGAGGUUCAAACCAAAGAAAACCAUUUUCAAGCUUUAUUGGCAAAUCCCUCCUCCACCAAAACCCAUUUUGAGUCAAGAAUUUGAAGUUAAUUUGAAGAUAAAAUCAAGGAAAAAUGAUUAAAAUAUUAUUACAAAACUUACCCAUGGAAUAAAUCUCUAAUCCCCUUUUGAAUCGCCCAAAUUCAAGCUCCUAAGCCCCAAAAAUGGUAAAAAUGUGGUUUGAUUCACAACUUGGGUAGAAAUUACGAAAAUAAAUAGAAAUUCUUGAAAAAUGGGAAAUUGGAGUUCUAGAUUGAUAUACAAUGAUUAUAUGAGAAAAGCAUAUUGCAAAUCAUCAAAUCGAAGAUUUCUAGCUCCAAAAAUAUGAAAUGGGCUCGAUUUUGGACUUAAACUCAGCGAUGACUGCUAAAGUGACCUGGUCAAGUGGUCAAAGUACUUCUAAAGUUGUCAAAAGGGAGCUUUAGUAGUCAAUCAAAUGGUCAACAAACUCUAAAGCGGUUGACUAGGCGAUUUAACACGUACACCAGCACCAAUAAUUUCAUAAACUUAUUUUUGACCCCCGAAACUCAUUUGGAUUCCUAUGAAUAUGAUACAAUGGCAAAAUUUGAUUGUAAAACAUAUUUCGCAUCUAAUUGAAUCAUCAUAUUUAUGAAGAAAAGGUCAUUAUAAAAAACUAACCCUCGAGACCCUAUUUACACAUAUCCAAACCAAGGGUUAAAAUAGGAUCUAAAAUCCACAAAACUGAACCAACUCCACUGCAAACCCAAAUUUGAAAUUCUAGAUUAGUUGGCGCAUCCAGUUUUGCUAUCGAGCACUCAGAUCUUGAUUUGUUGACCGAAGUCAACUAUUAGCUCUUAAAGCCUCACAACGAUCUCAAACUCUCUCAAAACAUUCACGAAGGUCUUGGGAACCAUACCAACUAUUCUCGCAACACAUAAAUCAAGUAGCACAACCAUGGGGAGGAGUAAAAAUGGUCAAAACACAUAAAAUUGAAAAUCAUUCAAAUUUAUGUCAUUACAGUAACCACUACUAAGAUUCACGUUCAUCCUCGAAUGUACAAGCAAGAAAAUAAAAAACAAGUAGAGUGUCAAAAAAUACUCUCGAGAGGUAUCAAACAAGCAUUCCAAUAUAGAGUCACAACCCUAUAACUACCAGUUAUACCAUUAAACUAGAAAUAUAUGAUAUAAGGACUCACCAAGUUAUAACACAAACAUCAAUAGGUUAAAUCAUCAAUAAUGCCGAAAUUCUAAGUAAUGAACUUACUCUACAUUAAUGAUUGAGUCCAAUGCAAUAGAAGUUCGGGACAUGCACGGCUAAUCUUAAACCUGACCAAGGAACCACUAGACAUUGGCUAUAACUAUAAGAUAAAAAAAUCAUCCUCGGACCCACAAAAGCCAAGGCCAUCCAUAAAACACAAAACUACCCACCAAAACACUAACUCAACCUACCUGAGGCCGAUAUUAUCAUUAUCAACAUAUACAACUCAUAGCAACAUGCUAAAAUCGCAAAGAUGAAAUUCAUUCUCAAGACUAUACCAAAACUUAAAAGAGCACACUUAGCACUCAUAGGUCACUAAUACCCAUCACACCCUUACGCACAACACUUAAGGUAGGCGAGAAACAUUAAUAUAACUCUUUAUACCAAGGAUGUGAAAUCUCUAUAAGACGCUAAAUAUGCAAGCAACCCAUCAUGGUGGCAUAUGCAGUCCUCAAUAUCAAAAAACAAUCAAACAACCCGAGUUCUCAAAAAUAUAAUGUCUAUAUACCAUGGACACAAAAUCUAUAAAAAACAUAGAAUGCUCAACCAACUCAUCAUGAAAUCCCAUGAAUGUUCAAGUGAUAUCAAUCACCUAAAGUCCUCAAUAAUCUGGUAGAACUUAAAGCCUCCACAACUAUACACACAUAAGUAACCUGUCAUACUAGAGUGAAUCAAUCUAUGGAGAAAGUACAACAAACACAAUAAAUCUUCGAUGAAUGCCCAAAUCUUAAUAGGAACUUGGGAGAAAUCACUGCUAGACUCUACAUAGCUACUAAUAAACUGCAACACAGAACCCCAAAUUUCAAUCUCAUGCCCAUAGGUAAAUUCUGAACAUAACCAAUUUCCUUAAGCACGAGGAUCCUUAUCUUUACUUAACUCUCUUUCCAAUUAAUAUUCCUUAAUACAAAAGUUGUAAACUCAUAAGGUACAACUUAAAUCCACUCAAUUCCCAUUUAGCAUUGCGUGACACAAUGCCCAAAAAGAAUAAUAUAUACUUAAAUUAAAGCUUAUAAGUAAAAUAUUCCACCAAGCUAUUUAUCUACAAGAGUAAUGAAUGCUACAAAUUACAUUUCCCAUUUCCAUUCGAAAGUCUUCCCAAGUCAAAAGCAAAAAAUGCCAUGAGCUAAAAUCUUUCAACUCUGAUCAAAGAGUGUCUUAAAGCCAAAUAGCUUAUCUGAAAAGGCAAAAGCUAAAUACUAAGGAAUUAGCAAAUCUCAAGACCCAAAUGCCUAAAUUUUUUCCUUAACCAACAAAAAUUCUUAAGUCCAAGCUGUUGUUGGGUCUACAACUAAUGUGUACCACUAGGCACGCUACAAUUUGAGAUGCUAAAACUCUAAGACUAAUUCAUUAUGCACUCUAAAAGUAUACAAAAACCAUAGAAUUAAUCCACCAUAACUUCACAACAUAACCAUCAAGAAUACAAUACUCAAAAUAUCAAAAUUCAAAAUACUCAAAGAUAUUCCACCAAACUCAGUGAUAUAAGCUAAAUGAGUUUCCAAUGUAGGAUCGGCACACCCAAUCUACCACCAAAGAAACAUUUACGAAUAGCAAAAACCAAUAGUUUCAGUAAAAUCUAAGAAUUAUACCAAUACUCAAAGAAAAACAAAUAGACAUAUAGGACAAUAUAGAACCAUAGUCAAACAGCACUAUGGUAUUACAAAGGUGUACCAAGAACCAUACCAAUGGCUACUAUACCAGAAACCCCUAUCUCGAGUACAUCCUAUAGAACAGUAUACUAGGAUCAGAAAUCUCCUGAAGCAAUUGGUAAAGCAUUUCUCUAUCUAAGUUGUAGGCAAUUCCUCCUACAGUGCCCAAAAUCACCACAUAAGAAACAAUCCAAAGAAGUACAAACCCACAAAGAGAGGCUCGAAAAACUCGAACAACCACUCUAAUCUAAUACUCUCCAAGCAUAAUCAUAAAGAUCUUAGCCUCUAUCAGGAACAUCACUAUGAUCUCUAAAUCCCUAGGCCCUGUGACCAACAAAUCUCUCAUAUCUCCACACAAACUCCUGUAAAAACACUCGACCAAAUUGAUCCCAUGAAAGAGAAAGUGAUCCAGCUAGCCUACUCUCUACACAAGUCCUCCACCACUGUCUAGUUGGCCCAAAGAAGUGAAAGAUAGUAAAGCCCACUCUAUUAAAUCCACCAAGACCAGUAUGUGUAACCUCUCAUGGCAACCAAGAAAAAACAUAUAAACAUCAACCCUAAGAUCUCCAUCAAAUUGAAAAGGAUCUGUCCUUAUGAACUAUGCAUAUCUACUUUGUCCUUCUAUAUACAUAAAGGGUAAAAUCAUGGGAUGUGGAGCAAUCCCUUGUAAUAUCUCAUCAAAGCUAGGAGAACCAGUAAGAGCCACAAAUACAUUUGGAAUCUAGAUCCCUAUCAUAUCAUGCUGAACCAAAGUAGAAGCCACCCUCUAAAACCCAAAACUUAAUCCAAAUAAUCCUCAAGCAUAGGUAUGGUCAUAGGUGGCAACUGAACUACACUUAACCCCUCUAACUCUCUAAACCAACCACCACUGAUAGCUCUAGAACUUAAUAGGAAACUCUAACCUAAUCUCUUACUGGUCUAUACAUCCUAAUCCGACCACUACCUUAAACCCUACUUUUAUUGUGCAUCAAAGGCACAACUUCUGAUCUCCAACAACGGCUGAGUGCAUGCUCACCAUCUGUGAGGGGGUAGAUAAGAGAAUUUUUAUUUAUACAAAAUCACAAAUGCAUAAAAUAAAAUGAAGAAUUAAAAAUCUCAUAAAGUCAUGUAGCCUCUCAAAGAUUGAUAAUGAACUUCCCUACAUUGAUCCGCAUGAUUAUACUAGACUCAUCUUGUACUAAAGAGAUCAAUGAACCUAGGGCUCUGAUACCAAUUUCUCAAGACCCAAAAUAGCCACAUGAUGACACUUGUGCACCCUCCAUUACAGUAAGCCUAUCCCAAUCCAAAAAUAGAAUUUAAGAACAAAUAGUAGAAAUACCAGAGAAAUAAAUUCAAAAUAUAAAUAAAGAAGGAAUAAUAUUUAUGAUACAUCCCCGAGCCUGGUUAUCACUAAUACAAGCCUCUAACACUUAUUUGUAAUAAGUAUACUAAGAUAUCUUGUAUGCAAAAGUAAGCACAAGAUAGUAAGGAAGAGAUCUAGGUAAGCUUCAAAUCCGUCUGUCACUACCUUGAUCUCUACAAUGCCAAUGCCAAUAAAAUGAUAUACCAACUAUUACUUAAUCCAAUACUAGCACGGGGUACAAAAAACAAGAAUAAGGAAAAUAAAAGUAAGGGUGAGUACAAAAAUACAUGGGUACCCAACAAACAUCAUUAAUAACCAACCCUGAUCCAAAAUAAUGGAAAGAACCACCACAUCUGCUACCCAAGGUAUCAAAUUAACGUACAACCCAUCAAAACAUAAUACAUAAUCCUACCAGGGUAACUCAAAACAAUGGUCAACAACCAUAACCAGAAUAGGAUAGGCACUAUAACCUAGGUGAGUCAACACUAGCACUUCAUGAUCCAUAAUUAGAGAGAAACACUUAUAUAGAAGACUCACUACUCAGCAUACACAUUUUAGGAUUAAUCAUAUGAUAUCAACCAAUAGUAAUAGGAUCAAAUAAAGGGAGAAUAUCUAAAGAUUCAAAAACAUACUACCCAAGGUGAAAUCCAAUGAUAUCUCAGAUUAAGUCAUAGCCUUACAACAAGUCUCAUAAUAUCUCAAUUCUCAAAUCCAUAUAAGAUGAUAGAAGUAACGCAAUAAAGUAAAAUGGAUACUCAAAACACAACAUCACAAAUAAGUCUCUAACAUGAUAAUACAAUAUAAGAUUAAACACUAACACAUUAUUAACCAUACCAAGAAGAAAAAUACAAUGUAAGUGAUAUAAUACAAUGUAGUAAUGAUAAUGAUGAAGAUGAUGGUAUGAUAUGCUCGAGGUUAUCACAUAACCUCUAUAUUCACCUACCAAGCACUUAUUUUGAUGUAGGUCUCAUUGGGGGUUCACAACCCAUAUAUAAUCUCAAUUACACAUCUAGUCUCAAUAUCGAUAUCUCUUCUCCAGCUCAUGAGCUUCGCCAGAGGGUUUUUGAAAGUAUCAUAUUUCCAUAAAAAAUUAAUAUUUCAACAUUGGUACUAGUGUCUCAUGAAUGCAUGUGUGAUAUGAGGAUGUAAUGCUCAUAACCAAAGUAGAAUGAGAAUCUUAAUCUAUCCAAUAUACACGCACGUGAGCUAAAAAUCUACUAAAUAGGUCAACCAUCUAUAAUUUUAUAUAAGCAAUGUACCAAUGAAAUAAUCAUGCGUGUAAGGCAUCAUUAAUGUCAUUUUAAGACCCCAAUCAGGCAUUAAGUCAACUACCCAAGCAUAAAAUAACUUACAAGGCUAAUAAUAUCAGACAAGCCCCCAUAUAGGCAACAUAUAGCACACCAUUUAAAGUCACCAACCAGAAUAAUAUAAGCCCCCCACAUGAUGUUACAAUAGUAAUAAAGAUGAAUAAGCCCUAUACGAGUAUACAAAUCUAAUUUAUUACUCAAGUCUAUAGAUAUUUCACAAAAGUUCCAUAUGGAAACAUAGAAUAAAUAUAGAUCCCAAUAACAAAAUAUUGCACAACUACCCAAAACUAUCUCUUUCAUACAUUAAGACUCGACAACCAUUACGAGCUCAUUUAUACUCCAGACAUUAUCUAAGGCUCGGUCAUUUUAUCAUUUCAGUAAUAGCAUAAUUAUUACCUAGGAUUCGCUAAACCCCAAUAAUCAUAGUGAAGGCUGCUAUACAAGUUUCUAAAGUCCUAAAGUAAGCAUCUAAUAAUAAUAAUCCAAACCUGAGUUAUUAACGACAAUGUAUUCUAAGAAUGUCUACAAGCAAUAAUAUUAACUAACUAAGCCAAUAAACAAACUAAUAAUCCAUUAUUAUGACUCCAGUACCUGCGGAGAGCUCGCUAUGUCAUCUAAGUGGGACCUCCAACCUAAAAAAAUCACAACAUACUAAUAGAUAAUAAAAUAAUGCAUAAACACUUUAAAAAAAAUCAAGGGGCCUCUCAACUUGCCUUAAUUAAAGAUCCACAAAUCCAAAUUCUGAAUAAAUCCCCAAUCGAAAGCUUAAAUCCUUUGAGACAUCUCCAACCAUGACAAAACUAUCCAAUAUGAUAUCUACACAUCAAACGAAAGCCAACGAUACCUAUAUCGACAAUAUUUAAGAUGGGACUAAAGAAAUUAUGAUUUUCACGCAUAAUUAUUAAUUCAACUAUAGAGUAUAAGAAAAACCCACAACAAUUAACCAAUUAUUUAGGCUAACAAUCAACACCCAUGCAUAAUUCACUACCUAAUCAAACAUAACCCAAGAUAUAAUAUUAGUUGCUCAUGAAAUUAAAGAAAGAAAUUAUACCCAAAUUUGUAUGCACUUGAUCCAUAAUAAUUCCAAUAAGAUUGAACCCAAACUUUAAUCUCUAUUUACAACUAAAAUCUCUUGGAAUCCACUUAAUAAAUUGUUCUUAACUUCAAAAUAAAGUGUUUUUUUCUUCUCUAAAACUGAAAUCUCAUGAAAAAGAAUUGACUCAAUUGUGAAAGGUUUUUGCCAUUUUAUGCUUUGGGAUCCAGCUUCGUAAAAUUCUAUUUCUGCCUUUGUAAAUUUUUCUCUCUUUCGUGAUCGCCAUCUCUUGACUGAGUUCAGGACUUCUAUGAUUGUGGUAGUUAUAUCAUGGUCACCUCUAGUUGACUUGUUAACUAGACAUGAUUGCGACCCUCGGGCAGCGAUCGUGGUACCCAAGGGUUGAUUCUUGGGCCUGGAUUUCAGGUUUUGUUCCUCUUGCUCUCAUUUUAUCUCUUCCAACUUUGUAUCAACUCAUAUUCAUCUAGCUUUCUACAAGAUCACCAACACUAGAAAUUAGUGCAUUUCAAUUGAUUAUUAGCCUCAUAUACACAAUUAUUUCAUUAUAGUGUGCUUGAAUUUUUUAUGUAAAUGAGUGGAAAAGUUGCCACUCAUUAACACCCCAAACUUAAAACUUUGCUUGACCUCAAGAAACACUAUUACACACUCAAUGAGACUACUCAACUAUAAGCCCGCUCUUACAACCAAAUGAUUACCAUGAUUUUAAACUCGAUUAGCACCACCAAUUAACUAUUAAGCAUGGGAAAAACUAUUCGUGCAACUUCCCUUAAGAAUAAAUCACCCUAUCAAGGAUGCAAAAUACAUGUAAGAACAAUCAAGUAACAACUAUUAACUCUCUAGGAGUGACUCUCUAUCAAUAGCAACUCAACUAUACUCUUUUAUCUCAUUUUUAAAAUAUGACAACCUCAUCAACCUCAAAUGGUUUACAUGCCUCCUCACGAAAGAAAGUCCCAAAAAGCAAAAUUUUAACCAUUCAACAAGGUACAAAUGUGAAAGCACUCACCCUUUUUUUAUUAUUCAUUUGCCUUUAUUACUUAGCUUUUAGGUACUCACUUACAAUAUUAUGGCCCAAGAUCACCUCUUCCCAGACUUACCAUCCCUAACUUAGGAUUUGAGCCUCAAGUUGCAUUUUUAAGUUCAAUUAGGGAGGGGUUCAAAGGAAAGAUAACGUUCAAAUGGUUCAAGGCUUGUAAUGCUGUUGCCAAAGAAAGACCCAAAGGUUCAAAAGGGAAUACUAGGGAUUCCAUUCUAGCAUAGGUAGGAUUUUUAGGGUAAAGUGGUUUUCCAUAAACACAAAGAAGUCCUACGAUCAUUGCACCAACCACAUGUAAUCAAGACUAGAUUUGUAAGACCAAUGGGACAAGUUUUAGAUGAUACAAGUACGCAUGAGAAUCAAUCAACUACACUCCCGCAAAUGGUAUGCCAACUUUUCAAGGAGGAUCAAUUGCAUUUCCUAUUAGAGACAAAAGGAGUUAUUUAUAUUGCACUACCUACAAAUGAAUUUGGAGUCAUAAAAAGAAGGUAAAGCAUUGAUACAUAUUGUUCACGUUCAUUCCCUUGAUUUACACAAAAAAAAUUGGAUAAAGAGGGGUGUUUGCUUCGCAUUUCACCAUUCAAGAUUAACUAUUGUUGGCACCAAAUCAAGUCGUCAUCUCACAUUCGGUCUCUCACAAGGGAAAACCAUAUGGCUAUAUAGACUUCACCAUAGGAAUAAUGGCAAUCUUGAAUCUAUAAUGCCAUAGGUACUCAGACUUUCCCUAAUAGUUCAAAAUCCCAACAUGAUAAUUUUCCCUAAAGAAUGUCAUCACUCAAUCUAUCUUAGGGAAAAGCUCAUCCAACACCACAUCAAAGGAGAAAUAAAAAACAACAACAACAACAACAAACCCAGUGUAUUCCCACUUAGUGGGGUCUGGGGGGGGUAAGAUGUACGCAGUCCAUACCUCUACCUCUGAUGAAGUAGAAAGGCUGUUUCCGAAAGACCCCCGGCUCAAGGCACAAGAUAUCACACAAACACAUAGUAAAGCACAGAAGCAGAUGACAUAACAUAAAUACGGCACCCAUAAGGAAUAUAAAACAGAGGAAAGCAGAGGAAAGCACACAGAUUCGUAAUAAGCAUGGAACACUGAAUACGGAAUCAUAACGGGAAUAAAAAAUAAAAAACCCCCACCAAGUAAUUCCCUACCCUAGCGACCCAAUCUGGCCCUACUCUUCUGCCGUAAUUCGCGUCUUCCAGACCUUCCUAUCUAGGGUCAUGCCCUCGGUGAGCUGUAACUGUUCCAUGUCCCGCCUAAUCACCUCACCCCAGUACUUCUUCGGUCUACCCCUACCCCGUCUAAAACCAUCCAACGCUAGCCUCUCACACCUACGGACCGGGGCAUCCAUGCCCCUCCUCUUCACGUGUCCGAACCAUCUCAAUCGUGCUUCCCGCAUCUUACACUCCACUGAAGUCACACCAACCUUCUCCCGGAUAGUCUCAUUCCGAACUCUAUCCCCUCGAGUCAGUCCACACAUCCAGCGCAACAUCCGCAUUUCUGCCACCUUCAUUUUUUGGAUGUGGGAGUUCUUAACUGGCCAACACUCCGCUCCAUACAGCAAGGCCGGACGGACUACCACCCUAUAGAAUUUGCCUUUAAGCUUGGGCGGCACCUUCUUAUCACACAGCACCCCCGAUGCGAGUUUCCACUUCAUCCAUCCCGCCCCAAUACGGUGCGAGACAUCCUCGUCAAUCUCACCGUUACUCUGGAUCACGGACCCGAGAUACUUGAACUUAUCCCUCUUCCCUACCUCCUGUGCUUCUAGCCUCACUACUACCUCAUUCUCCCGCCUCACGUCAUUAAACUUACAUUCCACAUACUCUGUCUUGGUUCUGCUCACCCUGAACCCUUUAGACUCCAGAGUUUGCCUCCACAACUCUAAUUUGUCAUUCACACCCCCUCGAGUCUCAUCUAUCAGGACUACAUCGUCUGCAAAAAGCAUACACCACGGCACCUCCCCUUGGAUACGCCGCGUCAACACAUCCAUUACUAACGCAAACAAAAAGGGACUAAGAGUAGAUCCCUGAUGCAAUCCUGUCAGGACAGUGAAAUGCUCUGAGUCUCCUCCCGCCGUCCUCACCUGGGUUUUCGCUCCCUCAUACAUAUCCUUAAUUACUCUGAUAUAUGCCUGCGGUACUCCACUCACCUCCAAGCAUCUCCAAAGCACUUCCCUGGGGACUUUGUCGUACGCCUUUUCCAGGUCGAUGAACACCAUGUGCAGAUCCUUCUUCCUCUCCCUAUACUGCUCCACCAACCUCCGUACCAGGUGGAUUGCCUCCGUCGUCGAGCGGCCGGGCAUAAAUCCGAACUGGUUUUCCGAAAUAGACACUAUCCGUCUCAGCCUCACCUCGACCACUCUCUCCCAUAUCUUCAUAGAGUGACUCAGUAACUUAAUCCCCCUAUAGUUAUUGCAACACUGAAUGUCCCCCUUAUUCUUAUAGAGGGGGAUCAUGGUACUCCACCUCCACGCCUCGGGCAUCUUUGCCGUCCUGAAAAUUUCAUUGAACAAUGCAGUCAACCACCUUACACCAGCCUCUCCAACGAACUUCCAAAACUCCACCGGUAUCUCAUCCGGCCCCGUCGCCCUACCCCUUCGCAUCCUGCGGACUGCCUGUCUAACCUCGUCUACCUUAAAACGUCUACAAUAGCUAAAAUCCCGACACUCCCCUGAGUGCUCCAGUUCCCCUAACACAAUAGCUCUGUCCCCCUCGUCAUUCAAGAGCCUAUGAAAGUACGACUGCCAUCUCUUCUUUAUGUGGCCGUCCUCCACCAACACUCUACCGUCCUCCCCCUUAAUGCACCGCACCUGAUCGAGGUCACGACCCUUCCUCUCCCUAGCCUUAGCGAGUCGGAACAACUUUUUCUCCCCUCCUUUCCCCUGUAACCCUGCAUACAAGCUCUCAAAAGCAGCCGUCUUAGCUGCCGUGACCGCUGACUUCGCCUCCUUCCUCGCUAGCUUGUACUCUUUCCUGUUUACCCGCUUCUCCUCUUCGUCCUUACUUUCCACCAACUUAGCAUACGACUCUUUCUUGGUCUCCACUUUCUUCCCCACCUCUUCAUUCCACCACCAAUCCCCCCGAUGAUGUCCGGCCCGGCCCCUAGAAACACUUCUCCACCUCUUCAUUCCACCACCAAUCCCCUCGAUGUUGACCGACCCGGCCCCUAGAAACACCCAACACCUCCCUUGCAUUCUCCCUGAUGCACCUUGCCGCCCUGUCCCACAUGCUAUCCACGUCCCCCCUACAUUCCCACACGCCCUUGCCCGCCAACCUCUCCCCUAUCUCCCACGCAUUCAUUGGUGUCAAGCCGCCCCACUUAAUUCUCGGUCUACACUCCUUACUCCUCCUCUUUUUAUUCUUCUUCAUACCCAAAUCCAUAACCAAGAGCCUAUGUUGGGUCGAAAGAGUCUCACUCGGGAUGACUUUACAGUCUUUACACAACGCCCUAUCCCCUUUCCUAAGCAACAAGAAGUCAAUCUGGGUCCUGGCUACCGCGCUCCGAAAAGUGAUCAGGUGGUCGUCCUUCUUCGGGAAGCCCGAGUUCACCACCACCAGCCCAAACGCCCUCGCAAACUCCAAUAGGGUCGCCCCCUCUUCAUUUCUCUCCCCAAAACCAAAACCUCCAUGCACAUCCCCAAAGCCUCCCGGUAGCGCCCCGAUGUGCCCGUUGAAAUCCCCUGCUACCACAAUCUUCUCCGAACUGGGCACGCCUCUCACCACGUCCUCCAAGGCCUCCCAGAACCGCAUCUUCUCCUCCCCCUCCGAUCCCACAUGCGGCGCAUAGGCACUACACACGUUCAGGGUAAACCCCCGAAUGACCAACUUGAUAGUCAUCAACCUAUCGUUGAUCCUCUUCACCUCCACUACCUGACCUCUAAGCUCUUCAUCUACCAAGAUGCCAACUCCAUUCCUACGCCUGUCGCUCCCAGAGUACCACAGCUUGUAACCGUCCACAUCCCUAGCCUUAGACCCUACCCACUUGGUCUCUUGGACACACGCAAGGUUGAUCCUUCUCUUCCUAAGAAUCUUCACCAGCUCUAUGGACUUCCCCUGAAGGGUCCCUAUAUUCCAAGACCCAACCCUCAGCCUACCGUCGCUAUCCACGCGCCCCCCACUUUUCCCUGCACUGCUGCCACAACUGCUUAUUGUACAUGAUCUAAAUGAGGUUGUCUAGUAUUUGCCUAAGAACACUUUUGCCACAUCUCAUUACCUAUCACAAUCAUAAUUCCACUAGACCUACUUCUGUCCUUCUGACCAAAUUACACAUAAAUGUAUCCACCUCUAGAACGGAAGGAAACGCUAACCCAUUCUGACUGCAUUUCUGUCAAGGCACCAUUUUUCACAUGAGCGGACCUGUAUGUCAUAUGGCUGUCUUCAGUUUUAGCAAGUUUUUUGGUAAGUCUUGAAAGAUCUGUCCCCCACAUGGGUUGAGGGAAUAGUCUCAAGUUCCUGUUUUUACAAUGUCUCCUUCAAUGAUUUUAGGCACUUUUUCACCACACGAGCUAACUUUUCAGGUCAAGUUAGGCCCAAGGUCAAGUUUCUUAACAUGGUAUCAGAUUCAAAUCCAACCCUGUUCUUGGUUGGGAUCCUUUAUUCUGUUGUUCAUGUUCCACGUGUCUAGUUCUGAGCACGCAGGGCAAAGGGUGUGUCAGAGUGCCCCAAAUUGGUUGAAGUAAUGGUUAUUGUCUUCUUAUAUGAUGCAGUGUUAUCAAAAGCGAAACGCACAAAAUAGCUCUAAGGCCUAUUGGGGCUUAAAGCGCAUAAUAAAAGCAUGGGCUUCAAUGAAAAAAGGUGCAAAGGGAGAAAAAUACAAAUAUUUAUGUUUAGUCCAAGACUUAUAACUAUAAGCAUGGAUGAGAAAUAUGGAUGAGAAAUAUAUGAACAAAGAAAUUGAAAAAAAAUUACGAUAAAGUGAAAUAUCAAUGUUUAGAGUCGCCUCUUUAGAAGAGACUCAUUGGCAAGGAAAAGUAUGCCUUAGGAACUUGAUCACGACAAUGAAGCGCACAUAAAGCGAAGUGAAUUGCUCAACACGUUUUGAGCCUCGCUUGAGGUCUUAAUCGCACUUUAAGUGCGCCUUUGAUAACAUUGAUAUUGAUCUUGGGCAAUACUCACCUAGUGAGCUAACAUUUGGAGUUCCGUUGGGCUUAAGGUCCAUUUCUUGGUAGGCACUCAGUGGCUAGGGCUAGGGCUACUGAAAAAUUGCAAAAGUUGAAAAAGGGUACUAAUACCAUAUGGCAAUUAAUCGUAAAAGCAAGCAAUACCUAAAGAGGUUUUUAUUAACCCUAUGCAUGUGAUAAAAAAAAUAAUAUACAUCCAUUACAACAACAACAACAUACCCAGUGUAUUCCCACCAAAUGGGGUCGGGGAAGGAUAAAGUGUACGCAGUCCACAGCACUACCUCAGAUGAAGUAGAGAGGUUUCUGAUAGACCCCCGGCUUAGGACAGAUAACAAUAUAAUAAACAAAACACAUAAAAGCAAACAACAACAAAGGAGAAAUAAAAAAAGCUAAAAAUAAAAUACUUAAUACCUUAAAUCUCUAUGCUUAGUGUGAACUAAAUUCAGAUAUUGCAAACAAAAAUUUAAAUAUUGAAAGCCAAUGCGCACACACACAAGGGCAACACAAUAUUCCCAACUUAAAAAAUUAUAGUGUCCUCACUACAUAACACAAAAGCAUAAGAAUUGUCAAAGGGGCUCCCUAAAAAUGAAUCGAGGACUAAUAUGAAAGUUGGACCCACUGUCAUAACCGCAACGUAAUCAGUGCAAUCGUGAUAACGCGAUCGUGAUCCUUGGAUUACGGUCGCAGUACCUGAGGCAUUCUGCUCCUCUUUUUUGCCCUAUUUUUCUGCAUGGCUUCCAUACUUUUAAACUUGAUUUCCCCCUAUUUUUGGCUUUCAAUCUAUCUAAAACACCUGCAAAGCAUCAAAAUUAUAUGAACUAAUAAAAAAUAAAUGGCAUAAAUAUGAAAAUGAUAGGUUGCCUCACAUUAAGUGCCUGAUUUAACAUCAUUGCAUGACAUCUAUUCCUUUAUCCUUUAUUUCUCCUAUUAGAGUAUUUAAAUCAUCGGCCCAAUUUUAGAUCAACAUAUCUUCGAGGUACUUGGGGAAAAGGUAAGGAUUCAAUGAGACAUUCUAUCUCACCACUUCAAAGACUUGAACCUUUUAUCCAACUUCACACCAAACUUUGGAGUAGGCUCAUUAGGUAUCGAUGAGAACAUCAUUAAUCCACUAGUCAGAUAGUGGAUUUUUCACUUCUUAGCCUUCAAGUGAGAGACUUCAUUUUGCCUUUUUUGGAGUAAGAUACUAUAAAAUGUAGGGGUUUUAUUCCUCAUUGCUAAAAUUCUACAUUUGCUUGAGUGGUUCGACUUCCAUCACUUCCGCCAAACAUAAUGUCGAAAAGUGAUUGGAAUGAGGUUGUCUUCCCCUUUUUAGAGUUGUAUUCUUCUUGACAUUCUUAUCCUAAAAUGAACUAGAGUUUUUACGAAGGAUUUUCUUACAUUUUUAUGCAACUCUAGUAUCAUUUCCUGAAUUUCAACAUCCUUCAUUAUUUUUGGUUUGGUUGGUAGGAAAAUCACCAAGAAUUCUUUAAUAUCAAGGUCACCCCCAUCUUUUUUGGAAACCACUUUAACACAAUCAUGCAUAUUCAUUUGAAUUUGGGCAUCAUAUGCUUCAAUUCUUGCAUUCAUUUCAAUUUUCAAUUUCUGAGGUGGCAUUUCAAAUUUAAUCUAUACUUGAAAUUACUCAACAUGAAAUUUGAUGGCUUCAUCCACCAUUAGUAAUAUCCUAUCAAGUUGACCCUUAUGGACUUCAAGUUGUUGAGUUUGAUUCAUUAUCCAUUCUUGACUCACGAUUUCCUCCUUGUUAAGUUUUUAUUCAUCAACUUUAUUUUAAAGAUUGGGCAUAUUCACAACACUUGAAAGAUUAGCAUCCUCACCCACUUCUUCUGAUUUUUCACUUUCCUUUCCAAAUGCCACCAAGGAUUGAUGAAAGACAUACAUUUCCUCCCCUAUUGUAGUUACUUAGUCCAAGAUAGUUAGAAGAAAUACUUUAACACCAUUAUACCUAGUAAAUUGUUCUUACUUUUCCACAUCAUGAGACUUAUCAUACUCAUAAGAAGAACUAGCAUUUGCGUUAUCAUAAAUAGAUUUUGGAAAUCACUCCAAUGUCUAUCUCGACCACCAUAUAAAUAAUAAUCAUACUCCCAGUAUGAUUUAGAUGGUACACACACCUUUUUUCUGGGAGCAUAUUUACAAUUAUGCCAAAAGUGGGGUCUACCAUAAUAUGAACAUGGAUCGUCAAGAUAAGAUUUGCAACUACCAAACUCAUUUUAAUUCCAUGAUACCAUAGUGACAAGCAGACAAAGACUAUAAAUAAAAGUAAACAAAAAUACUAUGGCUAACCCAAGUUCACUAACAACACAAUAAUAGUUAAAACUAUGCCUCACUCCCUGGCAAUAGUGCCAUUUUUUAUAAUGCUAAACUUACACCAUCACUUCGAUGUAAUGUGGUCAUUGUCAAUACAUACCUAACAAGAGUUGGGGUCGAAUCCUUGAGAAGUGCAAGAUUUCUUUCAACAAUAAUGUGUGUUGAAGGUUAACUAUAUGUUAACUCAUUAUGCAAAACUAAAACAAAAUAAGGAAAUUAAACUGGUAGAUUUGAAUGUAAAAGUUGUUGAACAUAAUUACCAAAGUACACUAAUAUGAGGUCAAACACUUGUUAAGUUUAUAAAAUCAAGAUGGAUCUUGGGGUUAUCUUCUCCUAAGUAGUGUUCAUGCAUAGGAAAUCAAGAUUUAGUCCAAUUUUAGCUAAGGGUUUUGGGUAGGCUAGAUUUAGGGUCUUAGUGUCAACCUUUCGAUAAAAUACUAAAUUUCUCUCAUGGGUUCCUUAAAACACCUUAUGAGCGUGACAAGCUUACCAAUCCUCCACCUCAACUUAUCAUCCUUAUUUCUAAGAUGAUGCUAAUGAACUUGAUAAUUCACUUAAUACUCUUAUUUCUAAGAUACUGCUAAUAACAACCUAGUUCAAGGUGUUGUUUGCAAUCACUCUUUGCCUGCAUCCCUCUUUCAAGGAUGAUAUGGGAUCCAAAGAAAUUAGGUUUUUCAUGCAUGAUUCUCAAUUCAAGUAUAGAGUAUGAGCAAAACCCAUAACAAUUAACCAAUUAUUUGGACUAACAAUCAACAUCCACACAUAAUUCACUACCUAAUCAAACAUAACCCCAAGAUAUAAGAUUAGUUGCUUUUGAAAAUAAAGAGAGAAAUUAUACCCAAAUUUGCAUGCACUUGAUCCAUAAUAAUUCAAAUAAGAGUGAACCCAAACUUUUAUCUCAAUUUACAACCAAAAUCUCUUGGAAUCCACUUAACAAAUUGUUCUCAACUUAUGAAUAAAGUGUUUUCUUCUUCUCCAAAACUAAAAAUUGAAUGAAAAAGAAUUUCCUCAAUUGUGAAAGGGUUUUUCCAUUUUGCGCUUUGGUAUCCAGCUCUAUAAAAUUCUAUUUUUGCCUUUGUAAUAUUUUCGCUCUGACGCGAUCGCCUAUAUUGACCUCAUUCGCGACAUCCGUGAUCGUGGUAAUCAUAUCGUGAUCACUUUCUAGUUGACUUGUUGACUUGUUGUAAUUUCGACCAUCAAGUCACAAUCAUGGUACCUGAGGGUUGACUCUUGGGCCUGCAUUUCAGUUUUUGUUCCUUUUGCUCUCAUUUUAUCUCUUCCAGCUUUUUAUCAACUUAUUUUAAUCUGAUUUCCUACAAGAUCACCAAUACUCAAAAUUAGUUCAUUUUAAUUAAUAAUUAGCCUCAUAUACACAAUUAUUUCAUCAUAGUAUGCUUGAAUUUUUUAUAUAAAUAAGUGGAAAAGGGCCACUCAUCAGCCGCUAAAGCAAAACUUUAGCCACUAAAAUGGCAUGGUUAAAUGGUCAAAGUAUCUUUAAAGUAGUCAACGGUUAUUUUAGCAGUCGAUCAAAUGGUCAAAAAUCUCUAAAGCGGCUGACCAGCCGCUUUAGUUCCUACACCUAUACCAGCAAUUUCAAAAGCUUAUUUUUGACCCUCGAAACUCAUUCAAAACCCUAUGGACAUGAUACAAUAGUGCAAAUUUAUUGUAAAAUAUGGUCGGGAUUCAAUAGAAUCAUUAGAUUUAAGGAAAAAGGUUAUUAUCAUAAAAUUUACCCUUGAGUCCCUAUUUACACUAUUUCAAAAUUAAGGGUAGAAAUAGGAUCUAAAAACCAUAAAAUAAAACUAACCUUAGUACUAAUCCAAAUUUAAUAUUUUGCAUCUGCUGGUGCAGUCCAUUUUUCUAUCUGGCACUCAGAUCUUGAUAUGUUGUUCAAAGUUAACUUUUAGCUAUUAAAGCUUCACAAUAAUCUCAAACUUGCCCAAAACCUUCCUAAAGGACUUGGGAAACUGUCAACUAUUUCCAUACCCAUAAAAUGGAUAGCACAAUUAUGAAAAGGGAUAAAAUGGUCAAAAUCAAUAAAAAAAUCAUCCAAAUUUAUGUCAAUACAAAUGAAAAGGUGGUGGUGGCAGUGGCGGCAAUGACAAAAAAGGUAUGGUGGGGUUGGGUAAGGUGGUGUAGGAGGAGGAAUGAUGGUGGCAGUAGCAGUGGAAGCAAAGACAGAAGAGGUGUAGAGGGGGUGGGUAUAGUGGGGAAAGUAGGAGUCUUUUGUGUAAGUAAUAAAACUUGAGGGUUUUAAGAUUAGUAUCAUUAACAUUAAUCUUAAAAUUGUCACCACCACUUAGUAUUUAAGACUUGUGUAACUUUUUUAGAUUUGAAACCUUUUUUUCAUCCUUAAUAAAUUUUUCCUGUAUAGUAAGUAUUUGAUCAUGAAAAUUAAAACUUUUUGGAGUUGGAGUUGGAGUUGUAUUUGUUCAUGAAUGUAAAUUUGAGUUUUUUUUUAAUUUUUGUUAGAGAAGUGGAGUGAAAAAGUGAAACAAGUUUUAUUUGUUUUUAUUUUUUUAAAUAUAACUUCAAGUUGUAUUUGGAAUUCUUAUGAUCAAACACCAUCUUGGAAUAAAGUGAAAAUAAAUAAGAAAAAAUAAAAAAAUUCUUAUAGCCAAAUGAGGCCAUAAAAAUAAUUUUAACCUAUAUAAAUUAUAAUUUUUUUGUUGAAAGAGAUCGGAUGAACCCCUAGACAUAAGCUAGUUUCACGCUUCUAUGUAAUAUGUAGUAGACAAAGGAAAGAUGAAAAGGAAAUGAAAUGGGCUAACUUACAAGACCAUUCUUGAAACAUGGCUGAAUGGGUUUGAAAAAAUAAGGAUUUUUGGAGGAAUUUUUAUGGAAAGAAAAAGUUCUCUAUAUUUUUUGAUUGAUAUAAAUUGAAAGUGUUGAUGCAAUAAUUUGGCAUGUGAAUCUUGAUCAAUGGAUGGGAUUCUUUUUUAUAUAAAAGGACUAAGCAAUACACUAAAGUUUUCACUAUGCUGAGUUUGGGAAAGGUCGAAUUGUAAGAACCUAUUGUGCAUAAUUUCUUAUGAAUUUAUGCAAAAUAUUAUUUUUAUUACUUUGAACUCAUAAUCUCCAAAUCACAUCAUAAUAGCUUUCAACAUAAACAAUACAAGGCAUUCUUAUAUACUUCCUCCAUUAUUUUACUUGGCGCAUAUUGACUUGACAUAUUCCUUAAGAAAAUUUUGAUUAGAUGUGUAUUUUAUUAAAUUAAACUUAUUAAAUAUGUUGUGGAACUUAAAAUUUUACUAUUACAAUUACUUUGCAUAGAUAUUUAAUACUUCCUCCAUCCAACAUUAGUUGUCUACCUUUGACUUGACACACAUGUUAAGAAAUAAUAAAUAAUAAGGGUAAUUUUACUACAUUACCUUUUGAAUAUGCUCUUGUAAUUAUUUAAAUUUUGAUGAUUAUGUGAAAUGUGUGCUUCUGUGUGAUUUGACCAUUUUACCCCUCCCCAUAGUUGUAUUGUGGUGUAUCUAAGGUGUGAGAAUAAUUGGCACAGUUUUGAUGCAUUUUAUUGUGAUUUAUGCAAUAUUGUGGUUUUUAGUGGCUUCAAGAGCCUUAUAGUUGACUUUAGUCAAAAAUUUUUGAUUUGUGCAUCAGAUUAUAAAACAGACUACGCCAGUAAAUUUGAAACAUCAAUUUUAGGGUGGUAACAUGGUUGGUUUGAUUUAAUUUCUUUUAAAUCUUAUUUCGAUCCUCGAUUUGGAAAGUUGUGAUUUUAGAUUUUGGGGGUAAACUUUGUGAAAAUGGCAUUUUUUGAAAAUCUUAAAUAUCCAUUGAGUCUAGAAAAUCAAAUUUAAUAGGUUAGCAUAGUUUGUUUUCAUUGACGGGAUUCCAAAUGAAUCCUAAGGGGCCCAUAGAUACUUGAAAUGCACAAUUCGCCAGCUAGUGCACCACUCAACUUUUGCGCUCGUGAUCGCAAAGUUGCGUUGCAAUCGCGAUUUGUCAUGCAGGUCAUGUGUCACAAUUGCAAUUGGACAUGCGAGUCAAGUGUGGUGAUCAUGACAUCCUUUUUUCUAUUGCGAUACCCCUAUUAUCCAGGUACUAUGAUCGCGACACCUUGUCCGGGAUCACGAUGCCUAGGUAUAUAAAUAUCCAAGUUUCGCUAUUUUUCACCAUUUUUAAGAUUUAGAUCUUAGGAUUUCAUGAUUUUGAGAAACUUUCUCCACUUCUAAGCCUGGUAAGCUCCAUAAUACCUAUUUCAAUUAUUUUCUUCAAUCUUUAUUAUCUAUUUCUUAUUUUAAACUUGAUUAAAGUAUGGAAUUAGGGAUUUUAGCCUGUAAGGCCUAAAAAUGGCAUUUCUCUAAUUUGAGCCCUAAUUUCUACAUGUUUUCACUUGAGUGAGUUUCUAAUCCUAUAAUAAUCAGUUUUUUCUUAAUUUCAUCUUCAAAUUAACUUUAGUUCUCAAUUUUUAAAAAGAUUGUGACAAUUUUAUUUGGUAAAACUUAAAAAUAGUUUUUGUUUGAUUUGGAACUCAUUUUUAACUCAUUUUCCUUAAGAUUUCUUAUGUAGACUCCUAAAAAUAUGGGUAAUACAUUCUUGGAAUAAGUUGUAAUUUUACCCUUCCUUUUCAAAAAACCAUUUCGGGGGUUCGGUUUAUCCCCGACUUGAAACUAAGCAAUAUGAGUAUCAUUGGCUUUCUGUUGAUGCAUAGAUUUUAUAUUUCCAUCUUUUAGUUAAUUUUAGGACCGUUCGUAAGGAGUGAGUCUUUGGGAUUUAGGGCUUUUAUUUUGAUUUUUGGCAUUUGAGGUAGGUUAUGGCUUAACUUCUUUCAGACUAUGCUACGUCGUUUAUUUUGAUACAAAUCAUGUUAAAGGUAUGUGAACUAAUUAUGAAAAAAUAGUUAUUUUAUUGUGUUGUGCCCGUAUGGUGGCCCAUAUGUGAUGUAUUUGGUAGUUUUGGAAUAGUAUGUUCUAUAGGUGAUAGUGUUGGUCCUAUAUGAUGUUCAUAGCCUAUAUGCAUGAAAAUAAUCAUAUUUUUGUAAUGAAAAGCCUAUUUUGGUCUCAAUUUUAUAUUAUGAUGUGUUCAUACACUAUUGAUAUAUAAAUUAUUUUAGUUUUCAUGGAUGGUUGGAAAUAUUUAAUGGAUAUUUGGCUCACUAGGUUGGUAUAUUGGUUGGAUAUGAAAAUACUCAUUAUGGUUGGUUGUGAGCAUUACAUGCUCAUAUCAUGUACAUUCAUGAAACAUUAGUACCACCAUGGAAAUACUGGAAACAUUAAGAAGCACUAGCUUUUUUAAAUAGAAAAUGUAUCAUCUUAUAAAAACCCUCCUCAAGGAUUUGCUAGGGAGGAGAUAUAGUUAUGGAUUGUAUAUGGGUUGAUGAAUACCCCAUGGGUGCUCUGUAGGUAUAUACAGAGGUUGUGUGGCAGUCUUGAAUAUUGUUCAAUGACCUUGUGCAUUACAUCAUCAUAAUCAUUAUUUUUAUUGUAUUUACUUUAUUAUGCUUGUUAUGUGAUUAUGUUCUGCCUUGACUUGUUACCUCUUCCAUUUGUUAUAUCUUUCUUCACUUAUACUUGAUGUCCUUGUAUAUGUUGUCCUUCUGUGAUUUACUUGUAUAUGAUAUAAUGUAUAUGUGUGGUCCUUUUUGGCGUUGUUGCAAUAUAUAUAAAUAUUAUAGAACUAUAAGUGCAAGCGAUGUGGGCUACCAUUGUGGGAUAUUUUCUGAUUGUAGAUGAUGUGCCCUUAGUGUGUAUUUUGUAUGAUAUAUUAUCUACUUGUCUCAGUUGGCCUAAGAUACCUACUGAGUAUAAGUGGAUCAUACUCACUCCUACUAUUCUAUUUUGGUGCAGAUUCUGGCUUUAAUACACCCCAC